CCUACGGGCGGCAGCAGUGAGGAAUAUUGGUCAAUGGGCUUACGCCUGAACCAGCCAAGUCGCGUGAGGGAAGACUGCCCUAUGGGUUGUAAACCUCUUUUGUCAGGGAGCAACGCCGGCUACGUGUAGCCGGACUGAGAGUACCUGAAGAAAAAGCAUCGGCUAACUCCGUGCCAGCAGCCGCGGUAAUACGGAGGAUGCGAGCGUUAUCCGGAUUUAUUGGGUUUAAAGGGUGCGUAGGCCGCAUGCCAAGUCAGCGGUAAAAUCGCGGGGCUCAACCUCGCUCCGCCGUUGAAACUGGCGGUCUUGAGUGGGAGAGAAGUAUGCGGAAUGCGUGGUGUAGCGGUGAAAUGCAUAGAUAUCACGCAGAACUCCGAUUGCGAAGGCAGCAUACCGGCGCCCAACUGACGCUGAAGCACGAAAGCGUGGGUAUCGAACAGGAUUAGAUACCCGAGUAGUC
Molecule: ribosomal RNA, 460 nt
Filed under: uncultured bacterium
Lineage: Bacteria
Description: partial 16S ribosomal RNA
Rfam family: Bacterial small subunit ribosomal RNA
Source: RNAcentral